RNAcentral lists this ribosomal RNA (499 nucleotides) under uncultured bacterium. RNAcentral describes it as "partial 16S ribosomal RNA". It matches the Rfam family "Bacterial small subunit ribosomal RNA", at positions 28 to 507 of the family's 1533-position model. The record is from RNAcentral.
GACGAACGCUGGCGGCGUGCCUAAUACAUGCAAGUCGAGCGAAGAUUUUCUGGUGCUUGCCCUAGAAAAACUUAGCGGCGAACGUGUGAGUAACACGUAAAAAACCUGCCUCAUAGACUGGGACAACUAUUGAAAACGAUAGCUAAUAGCGGAUAACAGUAUUUCUCGCAUGUGAGAUAUGUAAAAGUUUUUUAUGCUAACACUAUGAUAUAGCUUUGCGGUGCAUUAGCUAGUUGGUGGGGUAAAGGCACACCAAGGCGACGAUGCAUAGCCGACCUGAGAGGGUGAUCGGCCACACUGGAACUGAGACACGGCCCAGACUCCUACGGGAGGCAGCAGUAGGGAAUCUUCCGCAAUGGGCGAAAGCCUGACGGAGCAACGCCGCGUGAGUGAAGAAGGUCUUCGGUUCGUAAAGCUCUGUUGUUAGGGAAGAACGAAUAUGUAGGAACUAUAGAUCUAAGAGACGGUACCUAACCAGAAAGCCACGGCUAACUACGUG